This 253-nucleotide ribosomal RNA is filed under the name uncultured bacterium. RNAcentral describes it as "partial 16S ribosomal RNA". It matches the Rfam family "Bacterial small subunit ribosomal RNA", at positions 524 to 776 of the family's 1533-position model. The record is from RNAcentral.
UACAGAGGUCUCAAGCGUUGUUCGGAUUCAUUGGGCGUAAAGGGUGCGUAGGUGGCGCCGUAAGUCAGGUGUGAAAUCUCGGGGCUCAACCCCGAAACUGCACUUGAUACUGCGGUGCUCGAGUACUGGAGAGGAGAUUGGAAUUUACGGUGUAGCAGUGAAAUGCGUAGAUAUCGAGAGGAACACCAGUGGCGAAGGCGGCGUUCUGGACUGUAACUGACACUGAGGAACGAAAGCCAGGGGAGCAAACGGG